CCCCGGGGCCAGGCCGAACCCGCGGAGCCCGGCCAGAGGAGCCAGGAAAAAGGUUAGCCCGGUUGCUUGCUACAUACCACUGCAGUUUUUCUAACUCUUCCGGGGAGGAAGGCAGGAUAUCCUGACAGAACAGCAGCACUGUUCUGAAGGAGACAAAAGGAAAAGAAAGAAGAAAAUUCAAGAAUAAGGCAAGCCUAGAAGAAGCAGAGGGGGAGAGGAUGAUUUCCUUUGCACCCUGAAAAUUUGGCAAGUCAGCCAGGAGACCUAUUAAAAGACUGAAUGCUGCUUGUUUCCUAGGAUGUCUGCAGACGGCAUUGAUCUAGAUCUGAACAGCAAGCAAGGUGCAUUUCGCAGGCCCUGGUGAGUGUCUCCUGCUGUCAGCCUUGGAUUCCUGCCUGCUACCUCUGGCUGCUACGCACUCUAGGCCCCCCAAUGGCGGGAAGAUGCCACUUUGGGAGCGUGGUCUUUGUUUGGAAUAUGUGUUCCAGAUCUUCAGUGGUGGGAAGAUGCCAUCUUGGAUGCCAUUUUGGUUAGGACAUCUGAACACCGGACACUUAUCUGGGUGCAUAGAAGAAGCAUCCACAGAAGAAGUUUGCUAUUAUUUUUAUUGGCAUGACUGUGUUCCAUAACAUAACAAGUGGUGGGUCACACAGCCACUUCAUCUCAUUUAAGUCUGUACACGCACAGGAGCCAUUCAACAAAGCAGAAACCAAAGAAUGUAGAGGAAUUCCUCCUUCCCCCUCUGGAAAAAUAAUAAGAUCCAAAAAUCUCAUGUUGGAGAUAUUUUAAAAGAACAUUGAAGAGCUUAUCCAAGUUAUAUUGUCUCUCCAUUUUCUAAACAGUUUUGAACUUAUGAAUAGCAAUAAUGUGCUGCAUGUGGAGGUCACUUGCUGGAAGGAGAGGCCGUGAAACUUUGAAAGACUUGCUGGAGACAGUGGGAGAGAGAACGUGAUCAGCGUGGGACUGCGGAGUCGAAGGCUUGACAUUCUGGGUUCAAAGAGCCGGGGAGGGUGCCCCACGGUCUAGCCUAGUCACCUUUCUGCAUCAGCGUGAAGGGACUGACUCUCUGACUUUCAUCAAAAGUGAUAAACACCACCUCUCUCCAAAGCAAAACAGCGUGGGAGAAUGAGCUUACUCAAAUGAAACAGAAGAGCCUGACUACUGAAGAAUGGUCAAAUUGGCUUGGAUCAGUUAACUGAAUCCUUCCCAAAUUCACCAAUCAAUUCUGGAAGCAGUAAUCCAAGAUCAAGACCCUGGCAGAUUCAGAGUUGGGGGAGGGCCUGUUCCUGGUUCAGAGAUGGCCAUCUUCGCACUGUGUCUUCACAUGGCUAAAGAGAUGUGUUGAGAAGGCUUUGGUGAAUUCUAGAUUGCCUCUGAGUAGUUUAUCCUUCAUCACAAGGACCCCAGGAAGAGGCAGGAAGCUACUCCACCAGGGAACAGCUUUUCUCCCCCUGCGUGACCACUUGGACUAUUUCCACAAAGGAGGCCAGACAACUCUCACAAAUGAGGUAUAAGACAAAGUUCCUAGGAGAGUCAACUAUUUCCUCCCUCCUUCCU
Long non-coding RNA from Talpa occidentalis (Iberian mole), 1557 nucleotides. RefSeq lists it as uncharacterized. Lineage: Eukaryota; Metazoa; Chordata; Mammalia; Eulipotyphla; Talpidae. The transcript is spliced from 11 exons. The record is from RefSeq and is a predicted model, not a curated record.